CGGCCCUWAMMAUGCAAGUCGAACGGUAACAGGAAGCAGCUUGCUGCUUYGCUGACGAGUGGCGGACGGGUGAGUAAUGUCUGGGAAACUGCCUGAUGGAGGGGGAUAACUACUGGAAACGGUAGCUAAUACCGCAUAACGUCGCAAGACCAAAGAGGGGGACCUUCGGGCCUCUUGCCAUCRGAUGUGCCCAGAUGGGAUUAGCUAGURGGUGGGGUAACGGCUCACCUAGGCGACKAUCCCUAGSUGGUCUGAGAGGAUGACCAGCCACACUGGAACUGAGACACGGUCCASACUCCUACGGGAGGCAGCAGUGGGGAAUAUUGCACAAUGGGCGCAAGCCUGAUGCASCCAUGCCGCGUGUAUGAAGAAGGCCUUCGGGUUGUAAAGUACUUUCAGCGGGGAGGAAGGGAGUAAAGUUAAUACCUUUGCUCAUUGACGUUACCCGCARAAGAAGCACCGGCUAACUCCGUGCCAGCASCCGCGGUAAUACGGAGGGUGCAAGCGUUAAUCGGAAUUACUGGGCGUAAAGCGCACGCAGGCGGUUUGUUAAGUCAGAUGUGAAAUCCCCGGGCUCAACCUGGGAACUGCAUCUGAUACUGGCAAGCUUGAGUCUCGUAGAGGGGGGUAGAAUUCCRGGUGUAGCGGUGAAAUGCGUAGAGAUCUGGARGAAUACCGGUGGCGAAGGCGGCCCCCUGGACGAAGACUGACGCUCAGGUGCRAAAGCGUGGGGAGCAAACAGGAUUAKAUACCCUGGUAGUCCACGCCGUAAACGAUGUCCACUUGGAGGUUGUGCCCCUUGAGGCGUGKCUUCCGGAGCUAACGCGUUAAGUCGACCCGCCUGGGGAGUACGGCCGCAGGUUAAAACUCAAUGAUUGACGGGGGCCCGCACAAGCKGUGGASCAUGUGGUUUUAUUUYCGAUGCMACGCGAAGAACCUUACCUGGUCUUGACWUCCACRGAARUUYUCAAGAAGWAUGAAWAKGUGUCUUUCSGGAAACUCGUGAAGAMAGGUGCUGMRU
RNAcentral lists this ribosomal RNA (1021 nucleotides) under Escherichia coli. RNAcentral's name for it is "partial 16S ribosomal RNA". It matches the Rfam family "Bacterial small subunit ribosomal RNA", at positions 44 to 1046 of the family's 1533-position model. Lineage: Bacteria; Pseudomonadati; Pseudomonadota; Gammaproteobacteria; Enterobacterales; Enterobacteriaceae. The record is from RNAcentral.